AAUGGCUAAUGAUUUAGUUAAACUAGAAAAAGGGUCAGAGUUGUGGCAACUGACAUUUAAUGUGGAUAAGUGCAAGAUAAUGCAUCUUGGACGUAAAAACCCAAGAGCAGAGUACAGAAUAUUUGAUAGAGUCCUAACAUCAACAUCUGAGGAAAGGGAUUUAGGAGCAUUCAGACCACUACAGCUCAUUGAAGUGGUCUGGAUGCACUGUCCCAGGGCCCUUUACCCUGCAAAAGUAAUUAUUGUAGUUUUUAAGAAACUGCAAUAAUAACCGUUCAGGGUUAACUCCUCCUCUAGUGGCUAUGCAUGGGGACAUCCAGCUUCAUGCAAGACCCAAUAGGAAAGCAUUGUAUAAUAUUUUCCUAUUGAGAAAUCCUAACGUGGCCAUUGAGGAGCGAAGGUGGACACAUGCAUCGGGGCUGGACCCGGGUAGUGACAAGGGAGUUUUUAACCCCUUCUGCACCACAAGGUAGGGGCGCUUGACAGAGGGGGAAGCUAUAGUGCCAGGAAAACAAGUUUCUUAUUUUCUUCCUUCUUUUACAAAAAGUGUAAAUAGAAAUCGGCCGAUUUAUAAAUUAACUUUUUACACCUACCCAGCUUUCAAGCAGACAUGUCCUGUUACUUCCUGGUUUGUCUGUCUCAGUGGAGCUAAACUCAAGAGACAGGCAAUUGUUCAGAGCACCUACCUUGGAAAGACUUCUCACUGAGCUGCUUCGGAAAGUCUGUAAUUGAACAAACGUAUAAGACCAACUUUUAGUGUGCAUUUUGAUUUUGCUGUGUGUGGUAUUUUUAUUGUAUGAUUUUGUCCAAUACGCUUAAAGUCCUAUUCUAAGCACCAAGACAACUUUUGAAGCAGUUAUUUUUUCGGUGUACAGACCAGUGGUUGGCAAACCAGUCCUCAAGGCACCCCUACCAGUCUAGGAUUUCGGGAUUACCCAGUUGUGUCUAAGGUGUCUUUUAGAGGGGAAAAAAAAACAUCUUAGACACAACAGAGUAAUCCCUAAAUCCUUGACUGGUAUGAGUUCAUUGAGGACUGGUUUGGGAACCACUGGUAGAUCUCAUUUAGGAAUUAAAUCACAUUUGUUUUAGCCACACAUCCCUGCCUUUGACUCACAUAGCCUAAAGGGGGGGUUGGGGGAAGGAUCAUUUUCAGUCACAUGUGACAACCGUGUGUUUACUUUAGUUUUCAUCUCCAACACUGUUGAUUUAACUUCAAUCAUGCUGUAGCAGGCGGUUAACUGAGCAGUAUUUGAUAAUUCUGAAGUAAACAGUGCAAUGAAUGGAAGUUGAAACAUUAAGUUUCUCUUUACGGGAAAUAUGUAGGCAGACUGUAUAUGCCACAUGCUGGUAAAAUGUGAGCAGGGCUGCAUACACAAAGUGAUUUAACUACUAAAUGGCAGAUAAUUUAUAGGUUUGACUGGAAGUACAUGAUCUAACUGCCAAAAACACUCCAUUAAGCUCAAGUUAUUUUUGUGCUUAUAGUGUCCUUUUAAAAUGUAGGUAUUCAGCCUGUAACUUUCUACACUCUUUGUCACUUAUCACCUAGAUAUAAUAAAUCUAUAUUAUUAGCAAGGUA
This is a long non-coding RNA of Pelobates fuscus (common spadefoot toad), 1576 nucleotides long. RefSeq lists it as uncharacterized. NCBI's taxonomy places the organism in Eukaryota, Metazoa, Chordata, Amphibia, Anura, Pelobatidae. The transcript has 2 exons. The record is from RefSeq and is a predicted model, not a curated record.